GUGAGUCAUCGAGUCUUUGAACGCACAUUGCACUCCUUUGGAGUAUGCCUGUUUGAGAAUCUAUAGUAUUUAUUUUUGGUUAUUUCGCAAGAGAUAAUCAAGAGAUUUGAGAUGUCUCGUCUUGGCGAGUAUCUUUAAUGUUAUAGCCUCUUUUGUGGUAAAUCAACUCUGCAGAACAGUAUUUGAAUGGAACUUUGGUUUCUUUAAUGCUUAAUAUGUCAGACUUACCUAUUGAAAAGGGGGUCCAUAAACUUAAAGUAGUACUUCGGUGUCUACUUGAACCAUGGUCUCAAAUCAGGUAGGAAGACCCGCUGAACUUAAGCAUAUCAAUAGGCGAGG
RNAcentral lists this ribosomal RNA (339 nucleotides) under uncultured fungus. RNAcentral's name for it is "eukaryotic LSU rRNA". Lineage: Eukaryota; Fungi. The record is from RNAcentral.